AGAGAUAUAGAUAGCUCGGCGGUAGAGCGUCUCGUUCAAUGACCGAGAGUGUCUACGAUUUGAAUCCGUAUAGUCCCA
This 78-nucleotide transfer RNA is filed under the name Woodwardia japonica. RNAcentral's name for it is "tRNA-Val". Lineage: Eukaryota; Viridiplantae; Streptophyta; Polypodiopsida; Polypodiales; Blechnaceae. The record is from RNAcentral.